UGACUGGCGGGUCCGUUGUGGACA
Molecule: non-coding RNA, 24 nt
Filed under: Arabidopsis thaliana (thale cress)
Lineage: Eukaryota; Viridiplantae; Streptophyta; Magnoliopsida; Brassicales; Brassicaceae
Source: RNAcentral